CAGCUCUCCGAGUAGUGUGGACGUUUAUUGGGCCUAAAGCAUCCGCAGCUUGCUAGAUAAGUCCUCUGUUAAAUCCACCGAUUCAAUCGUUGGAUUGCGGGGGAUACUGUUUGGCUAGGGGACGGGAGAGGUCGACGGUAUUUCCGGGGUAGGGGUGAAAUCCUAUAAUCCCGGGAGGACCACCAGUGGCGAAGGCUGUCGACUAGAACGCGCCCGACGGUGAGGGAUGAAAGCUGGGGGAGCGAACCGGAUUAGAUACCCGCGUAGUCC
RNAcentral lists this ribosomal RNA (270 nucleotides) under uncultured archaeon. RNAcentral's name for it is "partial 16S ribosomal RNA". It matches the Rfam family "Archaeal small subunit ribosomal RNA", at positions 477 to 747 of the family's 1478-position model. The record is from RNAcentral.